RNAcentral lists this ribosomal RNA (489 nucleotides) under uncultured bacterium. RNAcentral describes it as "partial 16S ribosomal RNA". It matches the Rfam family "Bacterial small subunit ribosomal RNA", at positions 28 to 523 of the family's 1533-position model. The record is from RNAcentral.
GACGAACGCUGGCGGCGUGCCUAACACAUGCAAGUCGAGCGGAGAUUAGUUGAAGAUUUAUCUGAUACGAUUUUUAGCGGCGGACGGGUGAGUAACGCGUGGGCAACCUGCCUCCUACUGGGGGAUAGCACUGGGAAACUAGUACUAAUACCGGAUAACAAGGUGUUCCCGCAUGGUCGAAUGUUCAAAGGAGCAAUCCGGUAUGAGAUGGGCCCGCGUCGGAUUAGCUAGUAGGUGGGGUGAAGGCCUACCAAGGCGACGAUCGGUAGCCGAACUUAGAAGUUGAUCCGCCACAUGGGGACUGAGGCACGGCCCAGGCGCCUACGGGAGGCAGCAGUGGGGAAGAUUGCGCAAUGGGGGAAACCCUGACGCAGAAACGCCGCGUGAAGGAUGAAGGUCUUCAGAUUGUAAACUUCUUUGAUUGGGGACGAAUAAUGACGGUACCCAAAAAACAAGCCACGGCUAACUACGUGCCAGCCGCCGCAGUAA